GGAGGCACUGAACUGUUUGGCUGAGUCUUUCUUUCAGCUGGACAUCUCUACAUUCAGCAGGUCCCAGAGCUGCCCACAUCAUGUCCUGGGCACCCUCCCGGGACCUGUCCAUUGUGCUGCCACUCCUGUGGUCUAUUCUUCUCUUCCCUUCCCAAUGGAGUUGUACUCAUCUUCCUCUCUUGUUCCUACUUCUCCCUGGACACCCGACUACUCGUGAGCACUCCUCUCGGAUGUACUGGCCUUGUAGCAGAGAUUGCUGUGAGCUGCUCCUGACGGGACUGUGUUGCAGCCUCCCGAGGUCCAAGUGUUGGGUUCACAACCUCAGUUUGGAAGAGGUCAUCUGUUGCCUUUGGCCCUUGGCAGGGUCCCAGACCUCAGAGGAGGCCAGGAGGAGCCAACGGCCCUAGGAAGGACGGGAGGCAAGAACUGGAUGAAGGAACAAAUCGUGGCUCAUUUUAAGAGCUGAAACAAUGCCAGCAUGUAGCAAAGUCCAGAGGAGUAGAGAGAGAAACGGAGCGGAAAUUCCCAUUCACAAGGACUAAGCAACCUGCGAGGCUGGGAGUCCCAGUGUCCUGGAAAGGCACCUGUGGAAGGUUUGGUGGAGCCUUCAAGAGGCAGGGGACUAGGGGUCCUUAGGUCACUUGGGGCCUGCCCUUGGGGGGUGAGAGACCGCAGCCUCUUGCUCACUCUCUCUGUUGGCUUCCUGGUUUUGAGAUGUGCAGUGUUUCACUCCCUCCCUCCUACCAUGAUGUGCUGCCUCCCCAGAAGGCCUCCAAUCUGGACUGGAAACCCCAAAACAGUGAGCCAAAAAACACUUUUUAUUUUUACAAGUCAAUUACUUCAGCAAUUUUGUUAUAGAGAUGGAAAGCUGACUCUCAGAUAAUCCUUUAAAGAGGGUUAAGUUUCUUCCAAUACUCUAGGUAUCAUAAAUGUAUAUA
This 938-nucleotide long non-coding RNA is filed under the name Ictidomys tridecemlineatus (thirteen-lined ground squirrel). RNAcentral's name for it is "lncRNA (ENSSTOG00000034628.1)". The record is from RNAcentral. Lineage: Eukaryota; Metazoa; Chordata; Mammalia; Rodentia; Sciuridae.